This 198-nucleotide unclassified non-coding RNA is filed under the name uncultured fungus. Its description in RNAcentral is "sequence contains ITS1". The record is from RNAcentral. Lineage: Eukaryota; Fungi.
GUUAUGUUAUUAUCUUUUUUUUUAUGAUCUUUUACAAAAUGUGUGUGUGAUAUAAAGGGCAUAAGCACAGAACUGAAUCCAUGCCUACUUUAUGUGCACAGGUGGAUUUUGAAUAGAGGAGUGCACGUUGCCUAAUGGCCAGCAACAUCCCCAUAUUGCAAUUCGAUAAUGAUCCUUCCGCAGGUUCACCUACGGAAA